Molecule: ribosomal RNA, 748 nt
Filed under: Gypogyna sp. WPM-2015
Lineage: Eukaryota; Metazoa; Arthropoda; Arachnida; Araneae; Salticidae
Description: eukaryotic LSU rRNA
Rfam family: Eukaryotic large subunit ribosomal RNA
Source: RNAcentral
AAAGGGAAGAGCCCAGCGCCGAAUCCCCGGCCGGAUAGGUCGAGGGAAAUGUGGCGUUCGGGAGUGAGCGUGCCGGGCGCGGUGCUGGCGGCAAGUCCCCCUGACCGGGGCCUGUCCGUAGCGGGUGCGAGGCCCAUAGCCGCCGGCGCCGUCUCGGAUGCGAUCUCCUUGGAGUCGGGUUGCUUGGGAGUGCAGCCCUAAUCGGGUGGUAAACUCCACCUAAGGCUAAAUACCGCCGUGAGACCGAUAGCAAACAAGUACCGUGAGGGAAAGUUGCAAAGAACUUUGAAGAGAGAGUUCAAGAGUACGUGAAACUGUUCAGAGGUAAACGGGUGGGCCCUCGAAAUCCUGUGGCGGGAGGAUUCAGUCUGCGGGCCGAAGGCCGGGCGCGGGAAGCGCGUAGGGCUUCCCGAGAACCGGGUGCCGUCCCGCGUCCGGUCUCUGGCCGGCAGACGCAUUUGUCUCCCGUCCGAAGGACGCUGCAGCCGGUCGGGCCGUUUUUACGUCGGCCUUGAGGCGGGGAGCCGGCAGGUGGCCGGUGGCGCGCCUCGUGUGCGUCGCCGGUUGUUAGCCAUCCCCGCAGUGGCUCGACGCCCGACCGUGGUGUCUAUGGCCCGUUAUCGGGCCUCUCCGUCUCCUCCAUUUGCGAAGCGGGACAGGCGGCCGCAGGCGGACCCCGUUAUUCGGCGCACUCUCCAGAGUGGCCGCGCGAGCGGGGGACGUCGUUGGUGGCCGCGGACCCGCGGGG